RNAcentral lists this unclassified non-coding RNA (1965 nucleotides) under Yarrowia lipolytica. The record is from RNAcentral. Lineage: Eukaryota; Fungi; Ascomycota; Dipodascomycetes; Dipodascales.
AAGAGAAACGGCUGGGAAUACGACUGAAACCCACUGAGGACGAGCCCCCGCGGCGCAAAUGUCCACAUCGCCAACAUUGAACCUGGACAUCGAAAGUAGAUUGUUCGACAUCUGUUCACCACUGCACUUCAACAAACGACUUUUUCCAUGGAAGAGACAACACCACAGAGGGAGAUAUUAUAUGAUAUCCGCUGUGAUACCUAUUUGUGAUACAGGUGGUUAGUUAUUACGACUUCGGCGACGACUAUGACGAUUCAAGCAUCCACUACAGACAGAUUUGACAACAUCACAUUCCGACACUGACAGACGUGCUCCCGGCCCAAGAGGCAUGUACUGGAAUAAAUGGAAGCCCUUACAUCAAAUGCUUGAGUGUAAAGACCUCGGACAUUCAUGUUUCAUCUGCCUCUGCCACAGCAUCAUCAACAGUGAGCUCACGGCAUGCCGUUCGAAUCUAUGCUCAACAGGAACAUUUCUCGAUACAGCCAUGGUGGCCACAUUAUAAUCUCUGACAUUCGUCCCAGUGGUCUGAUACCCCUAUUACCGUCCGAAUUUUGCCCGAGAUUAUACCCCCGAGGUCUGACCGACGUUGUGGUGCAAAACUGAGUUAACCCUACUUUAUGUGCAUAUUGGGAUUCUUCCACAAACGCCAAGACGUCGGACAUGGCCUGAUACACCAAACGUUUCCCCUCAUAUAUAUAAGGAGGGGAAGUGCGGCGGCUUCUGUAUGGUGGGGCCAAAUGGUGGCCUACCUUACGAUACACAAUGACGAAACAAGAAAAUUAUGGGUCCGAUGAAUGAGACAGACGAUGAUAAUAUUGCACUACCCGGGAUAUUUACGGCUAGUGGGAUGUGAGUGAUGACUAACAAGCAGAUACAAGUGGCUCGUUUUGCCAUAUUUUGACCUCACACCACGUCUCGUCUCUCUUUGGGUGAAACAUUGACACAUUUAGUCGUUGGUUGUUCACAAUCAAAAACAUCGUGCAGCCACAGGCCGGAGUAAUGCCGGUUGAUCGAUAGCCUGCCAAGCUAACACACACCCCGGAACAGGAAAGUAUAGCAUGAAAUGCGGAGCUCAGCAGAGGGUCCAGUGGGGCUUACCCAAGCGAUAUGACGACUAUACGGUGGAAAGAAAUUAUGGUGUGCGAUCCAGGGGGAGGAGUUUUCGUGAGAGUGCUUGGUGAGGAGGGUCUGCUAUCUUACUCCACCCCUUAUACUCAAUCCGGCCAUACUAAGCGAAGAUGGGUAGAUGUAGAGACAGACCCAAAAUGACAUUCGGUGACACACGUCAUAAGAUCUUUAAAUUACCUGUCAAAAGCAGUAAUAAUAGAGACCUAUUAUGAUACUGUCUAGAUGACGACAGGGGUUCAGGCACCCUAAAUUUGUGUGUUCAUUACUUGGGAUUGCUGUUAACGUUGAGAAUACUGUGGAUCGAAGGCUGUUGAGCUUGCAAUAUGCACAAGGUUCCCCACCUGACAGCCUAGCAAGGUACUCACUGUGCGCUCAACAAGUAUCGAGUGCAUCUACCCACAUAAGCAUGUCGACCUUUACGCGUCUGUACAUUGUGUCUGUAGCUGUGCUGUCACAAAUGCCUUCAUUAUGCAUCUUCCCGUACAGCCAUGCACGAAUGCAGCACAAGCUCUCCACAAGUCGGUUAAACUAGCACUCAGAUUGAGUUCAGAUAAGGAAUUUUCGGUUCAACUUGCCAGCACCAUUUUAAGGAGCAAGCAAACCGGCCGGCAUGGCCAAAUGAAACCAAUACAGUAAGCUAGGCGAAUCAAGAGAGUGUGUGAGUUCACACUUCCACACAGGAGAUUAGCAGCUGCAGACACUGAUCGAUCCCCGUCAGACGAUGCUUGUCAGAUGUUAGCGUAACACGAGCCACACAAUGUGGAUCCGUUGCCCCGACCUUUGCAUGUGAGUUAGUGUGGCAUUUUUCACAUCUCGUUUUAGCGUGUUUUUUUCUUU